AGGGUUGAUGAUUGAAAAUAAGCUUUAAUCUGAAAAGAUGGUGGAAUUUUGAUCAGAGAAAAAUGUUAUGACUGGAAAACUCCCCAUGGAGAAGCUCUAUGCCAUGAUUUUGUUGGAGGUUGCCACCUGAAGUGACCCAGUCUCGAAAGAAGAGCCUUGUUCUGUGGAGUGUCCUCUUUGUGACAGGGAAGCCUGAGAAUCGCUGUCCUUGCCCUUCAGAGUGUGCAGAGAUGGAGAAGUGCAGCAAACACCUAAAAGUACUUGUGGCAGAAAGGACCCAUGACUUAAUGCAUGAAAAACAGAAAACCGGCUACCUGCUCU
This is a long non-coding RNA of Myotis davidii, 321 nucleotides long. RefSeq lists it as uncharacterized. NCBI's taxonomy places the organism in Eukaryota, Metazoa, Chordata, Mammalia, Chiroptera, Vespertilionidae. The transcript has 4 exons. The record is from RefSeq and is a predicted model, not a curated record.